AAUAGAUUUCGUGGUGAUUUGGCCGGUCGGCUUGCAGCCAC
This 41-nucleotide non-coding RNA is filed under the name Ahrensia marina. RNAcentral's name for it is "Alpha-proteobacteria SAM riboswitch aptamer". It matches the Rfam family "Alpha-proteobacteria SAM riboswitch aptamer", at positions 1 to 41 of the family's 79-position model. Rfam says of the family: This family is a riboswitch found predominantly in alpha-proteobacteria that binds S-adenosyl methionine (SAM). This SAM riboswitch is located upstream of the metA and metC genes in Agrobacterium tumefaciens, and other methionine and SAM biosynthesis genes in other alpha-proteobacteria. Like the other SAM riboswitch, it probably functions to turn off expression of these genes in response to elevated SAM levels. The record is from Rfam by way of RNAcentral. RNAcentral also lists the same sequence under 1 other name. Lineage: Bacteria; Pseudomonadati; Pseudomonadota; Alphaproteobacteria; Hyphomicrobiales; Ahrensiaceae.